UCAAUAGUCUUUUAAUUGAAGGCCAGAAUGAAUGGUUGAACGAGAGAGAAACUGUCUCUGUAUUAAAUAAAUUGAAAUUUACUUUUAAGUGAAAAGGCUUAAAUACAUUUAAGGGACGAUAAGACCCUAUAAAUCUUUAUAUUAAUUAAUUAGAUAUUUUAUACAUAUUUUAAAUAAAUAAAAUAAAUAAUAAACAAUAUUUUGUUGGGGAGAUAUAAAUAUAAUAAAUAACUAUUCUACUUUUAUUACAAUAAUAAUUGAUUAUCCAUCAAAAAGAUCCUUUAUAUAAGACUUUAAGAUUAAGUUACUUUAGGGAUAACAGCGUUAUCUUUUUUGAGAGUCCUCAUCAAAAAAAAAAUUGCGACCUCGAUGUUGAAUUAAAAUAUCUUUAUGGUGCAGAAGCUAUAUAAGAAAGUCUGUUCGACUUUUAAAAUUUUACGUGAUC
RNAcentral lists this ribosomal RNA (445 nucleotides) under Uroptychus cyrano. Its description in RNAcentral is "partial 16S ribosomal RNA". The stretch from base 315 to 445 matches the Rfam family "Bacterial large subunit ribosomal RNA", at positions 2473 to 2605 of the family's 2925-position model. Lineage: Eukaryota; Metazoa; Arthropoda; Malacostraca; Decapoda; Chirostylidae. The record is from RNAcentral.